UUAAAUUGAGAGUUUGAUCCUGGCUCAGGAUGAACGCUGGUGGCGUGCCUAAUACAUGCAAGUCGUACGCUAGCCGCUGAAUUGAUCCUUCGGGUGAAGUGAGGCAAUGACUAGAGUGGCGAACUGGUGAGUAACACGUAAGAAACCUGCCCUUUAGUGGGGGAUAACAUUUGGAAACAGAUGCUAAUACCGCGUAACAACAAAUCACACAUGUGAUCUGUUUGAAAGGUCCUUUUGGAUCGCUAGAGGAUGGUCUUGCGGCGUAUUAGCUUGUUGGUAGGGUAGAAGC
Molecule: ribosomal RNA, 289 nt
Filed under: Oenococcus oeni
Lineage: Bacteria; Bacillati; Bacillota; Bacilli; Lactobacillales; Lactobacillaceae
Description: partial 16S ribosomal RNA
Rfam family: Bacterial small subunit ribosomal RNA
Source: RNAcentral